This 247-nucleotide long non-coding RNA is filed under the name Sinocyclocheilus grahami. Its description in RNAcentral is "lncRNA (ENSSGRG00000031151.1)". Lineage: Eukaryota; Metazoa; Chordata; Actinopteri; Cypriniformes; Cyprinidae. The record is from RNAcentral.
UGGGAAACAGGGGCUCCAUGGACUGGCUGGGGCUGAUGGGCCUCCCGGUCAUCCUGGGAAGGAGGGUUCUCCCGGGGAGAAAGGAGCAGCUGGCCACUCAGGUCCCCAGGGGUCCAUUGGCUAUCCCGGUCCCCGAGGCGUGAAGGGUGCAGAGGGCGUUCGUGGCUUGAAAGGGGGCAAAGGAGAAAAGGUAAGCAAAUUAGCCGUCCCCUGUCUCCAUUACUGAGCUCUUGGGUCAGCAGCUAAA